This 1255-nucleotide long non-coding RNA is filed under the name Cyanistes caeruleus (blue tit). RNAcentral's name for it is "lncRNA (ENSCCEG00000016144.1)". The record is from RNAcentral. Lineage: Eukaryota; Metazoa; Chordata; Aves; Passeriformes; Paridae.
CGACCCCCGCGGGGCCGCCAAAGGCUGCUCCGUGCAAGCCUCAAGGGCCCUGGGCCACCGGCACCUUGAGCGGCUCGGGGCGUUGCUACCCACUGGCCAGGGAGCACUCGGGCUGCCCUACCGGGAGCUGCCGGCACCGGGGCACCGGCUUCUCGAGGUUUGGGGGUGCCAGGUCUUGGAAAUUUUGUCACAGAGGUGUAGAACAGUUUCCAGCUCUCCUUUCCGGGGCUUGAAACCCACUACUGUAGAGGCAAGGAGGGAAGGAAGGAAAUCCCAGACGGGAGCAGCUCCGACAUCUCUCUGUGCCAAGCACAGUCCAUAGGAGGACAAGUUUAUGCCAGCUGCAUGUCUAAGCUAUAGCCAUCAUUUUAUUGUAUUUCCAACAGAGGAGCAAACACAUGGAGAGAUGGAAAUGGGGUGAGUAGAGGAGAGUCUGAUGUGGCAGAGGACAUCCAGGGACCUCUUUAUUUCCAGUCCCAUUCUAGCAUUUCAUUAAGAGGCUCUGCUGCCCAGCAGCUGAUUCCUAUCCCUUAACUUCUGCUCCAAGUCCACUCCACAACCUGCUUUUCCAUAAUUCCUCUCAAUCCAGCAUCUUUUGGGGAGUUUUGAGGUGCAGUUUUGGCUCAUUUGCAUUGGGCUCGGAGCACAUCCAGUUCACUCAUGUGCUCUGGCAAGAGAGCAACGCGUGCCCGGAGCUGCGCAUGAUCCCAAGCUAAGCAAAGCACGGCUGUGUCUGCACUGCCUGUCCUGGGGAGAAGAGCAAGUGCAAGGAGCCUCUCUGGCAGGAGUACACGAGCCUGACAUGUGAUAGCCUUCAAUGACAACUGUGAAAGAAGGAUUGAUGGACUUGCCAUAAUUCGCAGAACGGGGAGCUUGGGCAGGAGAAGGACUUGUGCUUCUAGGAACAGGCAGGCAAAGUGGUCCAUCACCCACAAGGCAAGCCAGCCACAACGGGCACGAGCUCCCAGCACUCAUCACGUUAACAGGCAAGUCACCUCACUUCCAGCUUCACUGCUGGGCUGGUCCUUACAAAACUAGCCAGUGUGCUUGCCCCAGAAAUUGGAGAGAGGAAGAGGAUUUUACAAGUCCUUCCCUCCACUCUUGCACCUUAACUGACAGCAAAUAAUAUGAACACCUCUUACACAUGAGAGUUUUAAAGUCCCAUAGCUGCUCUAACUUCCUACCCUACUGCUCCACUGCCUUUCCAGAUUUUAUAUUAAACCCCAGAAAAUAAAUAGGGAAUUGAUUUCCCCCA